GAUUAUCAUCUGACACAGACCGACCUAUUUUGUUUGACCAGGCUUACAAACACUGUACACAUGAGAGAGAUUUAUCAAUGGAGAACAUACAUGACACAACUGGAUCCAGGAGAAAACGGCGCAUGAAUAUCAUCUAAUUCUGUGAGAUACCGAUCUGCGAAUGAAGAAAAUUCCAAGUUUGGGAAACAACAUAAACUUCUCUAAAAAACUGGGAAUUGAGGAAAACCAAAUAUGUCUGGAGGUAAGUUAGAAUUUGACCCAAGGUUUUGAUUGUGGUCUUUUUACCUUUUUUUCGCUUCUGAUAUUGUUGAUUAGGUUGGAUUUUUUCCUUUUCUUUUUGGGCAGCAACCAGCUGAAAUAGCAGAAUGUUAAACAUGGCGAAACAGCACAAUCAUUCCUUUUUUUCCUAUUACAGGAACUAUUUGUGCACCUGAAAAUCAACUCAACAAAAACGGAAUCUGACCCCCCGUGCUCCACAUAUGAAGGUUUCCUUGAAGAAGAAAUGAGGACGAUGGUAGAAUGACAAAAGACAUCCUCAUUCUCUAAUUGUUCUCAUU
Molecule: long non-coding RNA, 557 nt
Filed under: Coffea arabica (coffee)
Lineage: Eukaryota; Viridiplantae; Streptophyta; Magnoliopsida; Gentianales; Rubiaceae
Description: long non-coding RNA (CARA_LNC005231)
Source: RNAcentral